UACGGAGGAUGCGAGCGUUAUCCGGAUUUGUUGGGUUUAAAGGGUGCGUAGGCGGAUCGUUAAGUCAGUGGUCAAAUUGAGGGGCUCAACCCCUUCCCGCCAUUGAAACUGGCGAUCUUGAGUGGAAGAGAAGUAUGCGGAAUGCGUGGUGUAGCGGUGAAAUGCAUAGAUAUCACGCAGAACCCCGAUUGCGAAGGCAGCAUGCCGGCUUCCUACUGACGCUGAAGCACGAAAGCGUGGGGAGCAAACAGG
RNAcentral lists this ribosomal RNA (252 nucleotides) under uncultured bacterium. RNAcentral describes it as "partial 16S ribosomal RNA". It matches the Rfam family "Bacterial small subunit ribosomal RNA", at positions 524 to 776 of the family's 1533-position model. The record is from RNAcentral.